Molecule: long non-coding RNA, 1636 nt
Organism: Monodelphis domestica (gray short-tailed opossum)
Lineage: Eukaryota; Metazoa; Chordata; Mammalia; Didelphimorphia; Didelphidae
Source: Ensembl
GGCAGGUAGAAAUUAGUUUCCCUCUGCAAGGAGUAUUAUAUUUUUAUGAGGUUUAUUAAAGGUUAAGGAUUAAAGAAAAUACAGAAUAAGAAAGCACAUGUCUAGGCCCAGAGAGGCCUAGACAACCUCACUUACAUCAUGAAAGAGACACGUCUGCUGGGAAGCGGAAGUAGGAAAGAGCGCACGCAGCCUUUACAACCAGGUUAAAUACCCCAUCUCGAUCUUGGCCCAGGUGAGAUUACAAGGCAUUUUAGGAAGUGAGCAAGGACUUCUGGGGAAUGGAGUCCAGAGUUCAAAUCUCCAUUUUUACAGUUAUGAAGGAAUUCUGUCACCCUGUUAUCAAGGUAUUCUGUCAUAAUUGUAGCCUUCACCCUGGAAUUCCAGUUAGCAGGAUUCUUAUCUUUUAUGGUGGCUUUCAGUAACUUCAGUGGGGGAGGGAUGUUGGAGAUUGAGCUUCCCUGUCCUUUUAAGGCUUCUUAUCUGAACUAUUGAUAGACUAGAUUAAUCUGCAUGUAUGUACCCUGAAGUCAAAACUUCAAGAAGCAGAGGCCAAAAAUGGAGAAUGUUGUCUGUGACCAGGCUGCCCUCCCUAUGUGCCUCUCCUACAGCUGCCUCCCUGACAGCUGUGACUAGAGACCUGGCCCAGCUGUGGCAGCAAGGCACUCCUGCUGGGCUGGAGCCCUCACCUCAAGAUUCCAGUGACCAUCAGAGACUCAGCAGACAGAGAGGUGUCUGGCGUCAGCUUGCUGAGUGUCUUGGCAUCUUGGAGUGGCAGCAGCUAUUGUCUGGUUUAGUGGUGAGUUUCCCUUGAUACCAUACUGUAGGAAGCCUAGUAACCUAGUUCAGGUGAGGCUCUUCUCUGAGUUCUCUCAGAGUUUAGGCUGAUAUUUCCUCCUUUACCUUCCAAACCCUAUCCACUUAGAAGCCUCUAAUCUUCUUCAUAAACCUUGUGGCAGAGGACUUUGAAUUCCCCCUGGCACAGGCCAGGUGUGUGAAAUCCUAUACCCUUUAUAUAUAUAUAUAUAUAUAUAUAUACAUACAUAUAUAUAUAUAUAUAUACAUAUAUAUACAUAUAUACCUCCUUCCUUCACCCUAAAUGAAAUUAAAUAGAUAAGUAAGAAAGUGCAAACUAUGACUGCCACAUUGAAGGCAUUUAAUGAAUACUUGUCAAUUGUCUAUGUUGAAAACAUGGGAAUGUGAACCAGAACUGCAAUUCUAUGGUUCUACUAGAACAAAUUCUAUGACCAGAACUGAUUGCUCUAUUCAUAUAACACAGGCUAUUUAUCAUCUCUCAUUCCAACCUUGCCAUUUCCUGUUUUUUAUAUUGACCCCCAUGGAUAGUAUGGAUUCCCCGACCAUCAUCUCUCUACAUGAUACUCCCUACCUUUAAUGUCCAAGUCAGGUGUCAGCUCUUCAUUGGAGUUUUCUUAAUUCUUGAGAUCAAGUCAAUGUAGAACAGAUAAACAUUCUGCAACUGGAGUUGUUUUCUUUAGUCCUAGGAAUGUUUCUAAAGGAGUAUGCUGAUUUGGUUUCCUCUGUUAUCUUCUCGCUUUAAAGCAGGAGUUCUUGAUCAUUUUUAUAUCCUGGACUAGACCCCUUUGGAAAUUCAAUGAAACCUAUGAACCUUUUCCCAGAA